UGCAGUCGAGCGGAACGAGUUGUCUGACCCUUCGGGGAACGACAACGGCGUCGAGCGGCGGACGGGUGAGUAAUGCCUGGGAAAUUGCCCUGAUGUGGGGGAUAACCAUUGGAAACGAUGGCUAAUACCGCAUAAUAGCUUCGGCUCAAAGAGGGGGACCUUCGGGCCUCUCGCGUCAGGAUAUGCCCAGGUGGGAUUAGCUAGUUGGUGAGGUAAAGGCUCACCAAGGCGACGAUCCCUAGCUGGUCUGAGAGGAUGAUCAGCCACACUGGAACUGAGACACGGUCCAGACUCCUACGGGAGGCAGCAGUGGGGAAUAUUGCACAAUGGGCGCAAGCCUGAUGCAGCCAUGCCGCGUGUGUGAAGAAGGCCUUCGGGUUGUAAAGCACUUUCAGCAGUGAGGAAGGGUGUGUAUUUAAUAGAUGCACAUUUUGACGUUAGCUGCAGAAGAAGCACCGGCUAACUCCGUGCCAGCAGCCGCGGUAAUACGGAGGGUGCGAGCGUUAAUCGGAAUUACUGGGCGUAAAGCGCAUGCAGGUGGUUUGUUAAGUCAGAUGUGAAAGCCCGGGGCUCAACCUCGGAACUGCAUUUGAAACUGGCAGGCUAGAGUACUGUAGAGGGGGGUAGAAUUUCAGGUGUAGCGGUGAAAUGCGUAGAGAUCUGAAGGAAUACCGGUGGCGAAGGCGGCCCCCUGGACAGAUACUGACACUCA
Molecule: ribosomal RNA, 712 nt
Filed under: bacterium SCSIO13045
Lineage: Bacteria
Description: bacterial SSU rRNA
Rfam family: Bacterial small subunit ribosomal RNA
Source: RNAcentral